UACGUAGGGGGCAAGCGUUGUCCGGAUUUAUUGGGCGUAAAGAGCGUGUAGGCGGUCAGGUAGGUCGGUUGUGAAAACUGGAGGCUCAACCUUCAGAGGUCGACCGAAACCAUCUGGCUAGAGUCCGGGAGAGGAGGGUGGAAUUCCUGGUGUAGCGGUGAAAUGCGCAGAUAUCAGGAAGAACACCCGUGGCGAAAGCGGCUCUCUGGAACGGUACUGACGCUGAGACGCGAAAGCGUGGGGAGCGAACAGG
Molecule: ribosomal RNA, 253 nt
Filed under: uncultured bacterium
Lineage: Bacteria
Description: partial 16S ribosomal RNA
Rfam family: Bacterial small subunit ribosomal RNA
Source: RNAcentral